ACACAAUCAUUUGGACAUGCAUGUAUCUUUUCACAGCGUAGGCCCAAGUCAUCGACUCCCAAACCGAGUCCUUUCAAUAAUUUUUUGGCUUCAUAAUGACUUGAUAGAAGUAACUCUCCCUCUGGUAGUAAGUCCUUCAAAAAUUUGAGCAACCAAUUAAACGAGUUGUUUGACCACUUACCAAGUAUCUUCAUGUGUAAUAACUUUAUUAUGG
RNAcentral lists this long non-coding RNA (214 nucleotides) under Elaeis guineensis (African oil palm). RNAcentral describes it as "long non-coding RNA (EGUI_LNC078684)". Lineage: Eukaryota; Viridiplantae; Streptophyta; Magnoliopsida; Arecales; Arecaceae. The record is from RNAcentral.